This 384-nucleotide ribosomal RNA is filed under the name uncultured cyanobacterium. Its description in RNAcentral is "bacterial SSU rRNA". It matches the Rfam family "Bacterial small subunit ribosomal RNA", at positions 357 to 755 of the family's 1533-position model. The record is from RNAcentral. Lineage: Bacteria; Bacillati; Cyanobacteriota.
UUGAAAUUUCCCCAAAGGGUGCAAGCCUCCCGGAGCUAGACCGCGUGGGGGAUGUUGGCUCGUGGGUUGUAAACCCCUUUUCUCAGGGAAGAAGUUCUGACGGUACCUGAUGGAAUCAGCCUCGGCUAACUCCGUGCCAGCAGCCGCGGUAAUACGGAGGAGGCAAGCGUUAUCCGGAAUUAUUGGGCGUAAAGCGUCCGCAGGUGGCUAGUCAAGUCGGUGGUCAAAGCACAGGGCUCAACUCUGUAAAGGCCGGCGAAACUGACAGGCUAGAGUGCGGUAGGGGCAGAGGGAAUUCCCGGUGUAGCGGUGAAAUGCGUAGAUAUCGGGAAGAACACCAGUAGCGAAAGCGCUCUGCUGGACCGCAACUGACACUGCAGGACG